Molecule: ribosomal RNA, 492 nt
Filed under: uncultured bacterium
Lineage: Bacteria
Description: partial 16S ribosomal RNA
Rfam family: Bacterial small subunit ribosomal RNA
Source: RNAcentral
AGUGAACGCUGGCGGUAGGCCUAACACAUGCAAGUCGAACGGCAGCACAGUAAGAGCUUGCUCUUACGGGUGGCGAGUGGCGGACGGGUGAGGAAUACAUCGGAAUCUACUUUUUCGUGGGGGAUAACGUAGGGAAACUUACGCUAAUACCGCAUACGACCUACGGGUGAAAGCAGGGGAUCUUCGGACCUUGCGCGAUUGAAUGAGCCGAUGUCGGAUUAGCUAGUUGGCGGGGUAAAGGCCCACCAAGGCGACGAUCCGUAGCUGGUCUGAGAGGAUGAUCAGCCACACGGGAACUGAGACACGGUCCAGACUCCUACGGGAGGCAGCAGUGGGGAAUAUUAGACAAUGGGCGCAAGCCUGAUCCAGCCAUACCGCGUGGGUGAAGAAGGCCUUCGGGUUGUAAAGCCCUUUUGUCGGGAAAGAAAAGCAGCAGGUUAAUACCCCGCUGUUCUGACGGUACCCAAAGAAUAAGCACCGGCUAACUUCGUG